Molecule: ribosomal RNA, 502 nt
Filed under: uncultured bacterium
Lineage: Bacteria
Description: partial 16S ribosomal RNA
Rfam family: Bacterial small subunit ribosomal RNA
Source: RNAcentral
AUUGAACGCUGGCGGCGUGCUUAACACAUGCAAGUCGAGCGGUAACAGGCGUAGCAAUACGUGCUGACGAGCGGCGAACGGGUGAGUAAUGCUUCGGAAUCUUCCUCGUAGUGGGGAAUAACCUGGGGAAACUCAGGCUAAUACCGCAUACGAACUAUGGUUGAAAGCGGGGGAUCGCAAGACCUCGCGCUAUGAGAUGAGCCGAAGUCGGAUUAGCUAGUUGGUGAGGUAAAGGCUCACCAAGGCGACGAUCCGUAGCUGGUCUGAGAGGACGACCAGCCACACUGGGAGUGAGACACGGCCCAGACUCCUACGGGAGGCAGCAGUGAGGAAUAUUGGACAAUGGGGGCAACCCUGAUCCAGCGACGCCGCGUGUGUGAAGAAGGCCUGCGGGUUGUAAGGCACUUUCGGCCGGAACGAAAUCGCGCGGAUUAAUAACCCGCGUGGAUGACGGUACCGGAAGAAGAAGCACCGGCUAACUACGUGCCAGCAGCCGCGGUAA